AGAGUUUGAUCCUGGCUCAGGACGAACGCUGGCGGCGUGCCUAAUACAUGCAAGUUGAGCGCUGAAGGUUGGUACUUGUACCGACUGGAUGAGCAGCGAACGGGUGAGUAACGCGUGGGGAAUCUGCCUUUGAGCGGGGGACAACAUUUGGAAACGAAUGCUAAUACCGCAUAACAACUUUAAACACAAGUUUUAAGUUUGAAAGAUGCAAUUGCAUCACUCAAAGAUGAUCCCGCGUUGUAUUAGCUAGUUGGUGAGGUAAAGGCUCACCAAGGCGAUGAUACAUAGCCGACCUGAGAGGGUGAUCGGCCACAUUGGGACUGAGACACGGCCCAAACUCCUACGGGAGGCAGCAGUAGGGAAUCUUCGGCAAUGGACGAAAGUCUGACCGAGCAACGCCGCGUGAGUGAAGAAGGUUUUCGGAUCGUAAAACUCUGUUGGUAGAGAAGAACGUUGGUGAGAGUGGAAAGCUCAUCAAGUGACGGUAACUACCCAGAAAGGGACGGCUAACUACGUGCCAGCAGCCGCGGU
This 531-nucleotide ribosomal RNA is filed under the name uncultured bacterium. Its description in RNAcentral is "bacterial SSU rRNA". It matches the Rfam family "Bacterial small subunit ribosomal RNA", at positions 8 to 521 of the family's 1533-position model. The record is from RNAcentral.